This 1025-nucleotide ribosomal RNA is filed under the name Vibrio sp. 8011. RNAcentral describes it as "bacterial SSU rRNA". It matches the Rfam family "Bacterial small subunit ribosomal RNA", at positions 389 to 1408 of the family's 1533-position model. The record is from RNAcentral. Lineage: Bacteria; Pseudomonadati; Pseudomonadota; Gammaproteobacteria; Vibrionales; Vibrionaceae.
GCGCCAUGCCGCGUGUGUGAAGAAGGCCUUCGGGUUGUAAAGCACUUUCAGUAGGGAGGAAGGGGGUGUAGUUAAUACCUGCAUUAUUUGACGUUACCUACAGAAGAAGCACCGGCUAACUCCGUGCCAGCAGCCGCGGUAAUACGGAGGGUGCGAGCGUUAAUCGGAAUUACUGGGCGUAAAGCGCAUGCAGGCGGUUUGUUAAGUCAGAUGUGAAAGCCCGGGGCUCAACCUCGGAAUUGCAUUUGAAACUGGCAGACUAGAGUCUUGUAGAGGGGGGUAGAAUUUCAGGUGUAGCGGUGAAAUGCGUAGAGAUCUGAAGGAAUACCGGUGGCGAAGGCGGCCCCCUGGACAAAUACUGACGCUCAGAUGCGAAAGCGUGGGGAGCAAACAGGAUUAGAUACCCUGGUAGUCCACGCCGUAAACGAUGUCUACUUGGAGGUUGUGGCCUUGAGCCGUGGCUUUCGGAGCUAACGCGUUAAGUAGACCGCCUGGGGAGUACGGUCGCAAGAUUAAAACUCAAAUGAAUUGACGGGGGCCCGCACAAGCGGUGGAGCAUGUGGUUUAAUUCGAUGCAACGCGAAGAACCUUACCUACUCUUGACAUCCAGAGAAUUUUGCAGAGAUGCAUUGGUGCCUUCGGGAACUCUGAGACAGGUGCUGCAUGGCUGUCGUCAGCUCGUGUUGUGAAAUGUUGGGUUAAGUCCCGCAACGAGCGCAACCCUUAUCCUUGUUUGCCAGCGCGUAAUGUCGGAAAUUCCAGGAAGACUGCCGGUGAUAAACCGAAGGAAGGUGGGAACAACGUCAAGUCAUCAUGGCCCUUACAAGUAGGGUUACCCACGUGCUACAAUGGCUAUAUACAGAGGGUUGCACACUGCGAGAGUGAGCUAAUCCCAAAAAGCUGGGUCGAAGUCCGGAAUGAAGUCUGCAACUCGACUCCAUGAAGUCGGAAUCGCUAGUAAUCGGGGAUCAAAUGCCACGGUGAAUACGUUCCCGGGCCUUGUACCCCGCCCGUCCCACCAUGGG